Argiope bruennichi is the source of this 346-nucleotide long non-coding RNA. RefSeq lists it as uncharacterized. The record is from RefSeq and is a predicted model, not a curated record. The transcript has 3 exons. NCBI's taxonomy places the organism in Eukaryota, Metazoa, Arthropoda, Arachnida, Araneae, Araneidae.
UCUUUGCAUGCUAGAAUAAUUUUUUUAAAUGAUUUUUGUUAAACCUUGAAUAUUUUGAAUUGUGCUGGGAUAGAUAUAUUUUAUAAUUUAGUAUCUUUUGCGUUAUUAAGCAACUUCUUAGUAUUUUGAUGGAACAAUGGUACCCUCCCCCAACCCUCGUCUAUGGAAUGACUUUUUUUCAGUUUUUGUCACAAAUUCUAUCAACUAGCAAUUUGGAUGACCAAGAAACUACAUCAGAAUGAUAGAUAAUGUAUAUAUAGGUUAGAACACUAACAACCUUUUGCCGACUAAAGGCUUGCGACUCGCCAGCAGAAGUGAGAUUGCUUCCUUGGUUCUCUCGUGUUCC